CCACCUGAAAAUUUGUCUCAACCUCGUCAUUCAAAAUAGGUGAGCAAAGUUUCAGGUGCCU
This 61-nucleotide microRNA precursor is filed under the name Parasteatoda tepidariorum (common house spider). RNAcentral's name for it is "microRNA pte-mir-87a precursor". Its record names the gene pte-mir-87a. The record is from miRBase by way of RNAcentral. Lineage: Eukaryota; Metazoa; Arthropoda; Arachnida; Araneae; Theridiidae.